This 892-nucleotide ribosomal RNA is filed under the name uncultured bacterium. RNAcentral describes it as "bacterial SSU rRNA". It matches the Rfam family "Bacterial small subunit ribosomal RNA", at positions 29 to 917 of the family's 1533-position model. The record is from RNAcentral. RNAcentral also lists the same sequence under 1 other name.
AUGAACGCUGGCGGCGUGCCUAACACAUGCAAGUCGAACGAAGCUUGACGGAUGAUUUCUUCGGAAUGAAACCAGAUAUGACUUAGUGGCGGACGGGUGAGUAACACGUGAGCAACCUGCCUUUCAGAGGGGGAUAACGGCUGGAAACGGUCGCUAAUACCGCAUGAUGUGUUCGGAUGGCAUCAUCUGAACAUCAAAGAUUUAUCGCUGAAAGAUGGGCUCGCGUCUGAUUAGAUAGUUGGUGGGGUAACGGCCUACCAAGUCUACGAUCAGUAGCCGGACUGAGAGGUUGAACGGCCACAUUGGGACUGAGAUACGGCCCAGACUCCUACGGGAGGCAGCAGUGGGGAAUAUUGCACAAUGGGGGAGACCAUGAUGCAGCAACGCCGCGUGAAGGAUGACGGUUUUCGGAUUGUAAACUUCUUUUCUUAGUGACGAAGACAGUGACGGUAGCUAAGGAAUGAGCAUCGGCUAACUACGCGCCAGCAGCCGCGGUAAUACGUAGGAUGCAAGCGUUAUCCGGAUUUACUGGGUGUAAAGGGAGCGCAGGCGGGACUGCAAGUUGGAUGUGAAAUACCGUGGCUUAACCACGGAACUGCAUCCAAAACUGUAGUUCUUGAGUGAAGUAGAGGCAAGCGGAAUUCCGAGUGUAGCGGUGAAAUGCGUAGAUAUUCGGAGGAACACCAGUGGCGAAGGCGGCUUGCUGGGCUUUAACUGACGCUGAGGCUCGAAAGUGUGGGGAGCAAACAGGAUUAGAUACCCUGGUAGUCCACACUGUAAACGAUGAUAGCUAGGUGUGGGGGGUCUGACCCCUUCCGUGCCGGAGUUAACGCAAUAAGCUAUCCACCUGGGGAGUACGACCACAAGGUUGCAACUCAAAGGAAUUGACGGA